RNAcentral lists this ribosomal RNA (457 nucleotides) under uncultured bacterium. RNAcentral describes it as "bacterial SSU rRNA". It matches the Rfam family "Bacterial small subunit ribosomal RNA", at positions 28 to 507 of the family's 1533-position model. The record is from RNAcentral.
GAUGAACGCUGGCGGCGUGCUUAACACAUGCAAGUCGAACGAACAUAUCUUUCGGGAUGUGUUAGUGGCAGACGGGUGCGUAACACGUGGGUGACCUGCCCUUAAGUGGGGAAUAACUAUCCUAAAGGAUAGCUAAUACCGCAUAAGUUCGGUGAUUCGUUUCAUCGAGUAAAGUCGCAAGACGCUUUGGGAUGGGCCUGCGGCGGAUUAGGUAGUUGGUGGGGUAAUGGCCUACCAAGCCGAUGAUCCGUAGGGGGCGUGAGAGCGUGGCCCCCCACACUGGCACUGAGAUACGGGCCAGACUCCUACGGGAGGCAGCAGUGAGGAAUAUUGCACAAUGGGCGAAAACCUGAUGCAGCAACGCCGCGUGAGGGACGAAGGCCUUCGGGUCGUAAACCUCUUUUCUGGGGAAAGAGACAGGACGGUACCUCAGGAAUAAGUCUCGGCUAACUACGUG